CGGCGGCCCCGGAGCGCUCCGGGCCCGGUAGUUCGCGGGUCCGCCAUGUGUGCGGGCAGGGCCGGGCUGCGGCGGCUCGGCCCGGCCGGGGGGAACGCGGCGAGCCAGACCCAUGGCACCCCCAGCAUCCCGAGGCGCAGCAGGAGAAGGAAGAGCAUCGCCAUUGCCUAUGAGCCUGGGCAGGGGGAUGGUGUUGAGCCCCAGAGACCACGCUGGGAGCCCAGGGACUGGCAGGAGCAGCUGGAGCGUAUCCGGGAGAUGAGGAGGAACAGAGAUGCUCCUGUGGAUGAGAUGGGAGUGCAGAAGUGCUAUGACAGCAGUGCACCUCCACAGGUCAUGCGCUACCAGGUGCUGCUGUCGCUGAUGUUGUCCAGCCAGACCAAGGACCAGGUGACAUCGGCUGCGAUGCUGCGCCUGCGCCAGCGCGGCCUCACCGUCGACAGCGUCCUGCAGAUGGACGAUGCCACGCUGGGCCAGAUCAUCUAUCCCGUGGGGUUCUGGAGGAACAAGGUGAAGUACAUAAAGCAGACGACAGCCAUCCUGAAGCAGAAAUAUGGAGGUGACAUCCCGAGCACUGUGGAGGAGCUGGUGCAGCUGCCAGGGGUUGGGCCCAAAAUGGCCCACUUGGCCAUGGACAUUGCCUGGGACAGUGUGUCUGGGAUAGGUGUCUCUGCCCCACCUAAACUCUGGGCUCUCCCUUCCCAGCUGUGGACACCCACGUGCACAGGAUCACCAACAGGCUGAAGUGGGUGCAGAAGGAGACCAAGUAUCCUGAGGAGACUCGGGUGGCACUGGAGGACUGGCUGCCCAGGGAUCUCUGGAGGGAGAUCAACUGGCUCCUGGUGGGCUUUGGCCAGCAGACCUGCCUGCCUGUGAACCCUCGCUGCAGCCAGUGCCUCAAUCAGGACAUUUGCCCAGCUGCCAAGAAACACUGAGGGAUCAUCCAGCCUUUGGAGAGCCACAAAGCUGCUUGGGCUGAGCAGCAGCUGAGCUGGGCCCUGGUAAAGCUGGGCCUUGCACGGGGCUGGCUGUGUGACUGCAGGGAACAGGAGCUGCUGGAGCCAGCUCAGCAUCUCAGGAGGGAGCAGCUGCUGGCUCAGCUCUCGAGGAGAAAAAGGGGCUUGGAGAGUGCAGCAGUCCUGCUGUGCCAGUGCUGGAGGCUCCAGCCUGUGUGAAUGCCUCAGCAGGGCCCAGCUGUGCCACACUGAGUCACUGUAGAGAAAAGCUUUGUCCUCAGGGACUUGCUGCUGCUUGUAAAUACACAUUUAAUAAAGGUGGUGGGAGUUUUUUUGCACCCACGGGA
RNA transcript from Pseudopipra pipra, 1303 nucleotides. It is a transcript of the gene named nth like DNA glycosylase 1, with no coding region annotated. The transcript is spliced from 6 exons. Lineage: Eukaryota; Metazoa; Chordata; Aves; Passeriformes; Pipridae. The record is from RefSeq and is a predicted model, not a curated record.